Molecule: long non-coding RNA, 1128 nt
Filed under: Carassius auratus (goldfish)
Lineage: Eukaryota; Metazoa; Chordata; Actinopteri; Cypriniformes; Cyprinidae
Description: lncRNA (ENSCARG00000015162.1)
Source: RNAcentral
GCCCAGUUUAAUCAAAGAUUUCACGCUGCUCUUUUUGGCUUUUAAACGAAAUGAGUUACUACAGACUGCGCGCGCACACACAAUGAUGCGCAUCAUUCAGUAAACAGAUGCAUUUCAAACGAGCAGUGAUAGGUUUAAUAUAUCAUCAGUCAAUCGCUGUAGCCACAUUUUCACAGACGGUGCCUUUUUCCGUGUGCUUGCACUUUAUAUUUACAUUUUCUGACGAAACAUAGAGCUGGCCGGGGCAACAGCGAUUUGUAAGCAAUACGAAAGGAGCAGAAAACUGCAGCGCCAAACAAACGUCGCUUUUAAUGAGCCCAGACGAGCUGAGCUUCACGAAGGGAAGGAAUGAAGUUUAGUACGCUGAUAUAAACUACAGAAUUAACAAGAAGAUCCCUUAGCAACAGGAAUUAAAACGUUAUUGCUGGAUGCGGCUGAGACUCAAGUAUUCAGUCGAGCCGAUGGUUCAACUUUGAGGAGGCUCUGCAGUGGACAUCGCUCGCGGGAAACGAUGAAGGCGAGAGGAAGCAGUGCAGACUCGAGGAGGCUGUGAGGUGAUGCUGUGACACAUUCAACAGCAUUCAGCGGAGUCAGCACGUUGUGUGACAUCUAUGGACUGCGGUGGUGGAUGUGAGCGAUCUGAGGAGCAUGGGGCCAGUAUUCGUUGAAGAACGGCGGUGCAUGGCAAUGGUUUUAAAGAGCACACCUCGAUCAGAGAAACCUACCAAGUACUAACUCUACUGGAUUUAACCCAAAGAGAGGCUGUUGAAAACCCAUGUGGUUUAGACAUUUCCGUCCCGGAUGUGGAUACUAGGCUUGUUUUAUGUGUCCAGCACAACAUAUCACCGGUGGUAGAUUGAUCCCCUAUUUCGUUACAGAUUUUUUAGAAGAUUUGUUCUCUUUCAGCACCCCUCCCCCCUUUUUUUGCACCUGCUUUGCGUUGUCAAAGCUUACCGAGCGCUUUAGAGCGCGCUGCUCUUACUUGCAUCUCCGAACAUCGUGCAUGGAUUCUACAUCAACUGGAGGUUUUGUGAGGGCUGCAGUGAUGCUCCCAUUUACUGGUAUCGCCUCACAGCUCGCACUUCCUGACAGAAAUGGACUGCCAAUAGAUUUUUGGGAAGAGAAAAU